RNAcentral lists this ribosomal RNA (1945 nucleotides) under human gut metagenome. Its description in RNAcentral is "bacterial LSU rRNA". It matches the Rfam family "Bacterial large subunit ribosomal RNA", at positions 1 to 1973 of the family's 2925-position model. The record is from RNAcentral.
GAAAGUAAGUAAGGGCGUAUGGGGGAUGCCUAGGCUCUUGGAGGCUAAGAAGGACGUGGUAAGCUGCGAAAAGCUGCGGGGAUUUGCAAACGAGACUCGAUCCGCAGAUAUCCGAAUGGGACAACCCGGCAGGUAGAAGACCUGUCACACCGCGAGGUGAGCUAACCCUCUGAACUGAAACAUCUAAGUAGGAGGAGGAAAAGAAAGAAACAUCGAUUUCCAAAGUAGCGGCGAGCGAAAUGGAAGAAGCCCAAACCGAUAUUGUUACGGCAAUAUCGGGGUUGUAGGACUGCAAUAUUCAAUUAACAAUGAACUGGAAUGGUCUGGAAAGUCCAUCCAUAGAGAGUGAAAGGCUCGUACAGGUAAGUUUGUUAUGCGAUAGCAGUAUCCUGAGUAUGGCGGGACACGAGGAAUCCUGUCAGAAUCAGCCGGGACCACCCGGUAAGGCUAAAUACUCCCAAGAGACCGAUAGUGGACCAGUACUGUGAAGGAAAGGUGAAAAGAACCCCGAACAGGGGAGUGAAAUAGAACCUGAAACCAUACGCUUACAACCGGUCGGAGCAGCUUCGUGCUGUGACGGCGUGCCUAUUGAAUAAUGAGCCUACGAGUUACUAAUCACUAGCGAGGUUAAGUGCAAGGAUGCACGGAGCCGAAGCGAAAGCGAGUCUGAACAGGGCGUUUAGUUAGUGGUUGUAGACGCGAAACCUUGCGAUCUACCCUUGAGCAGGUUGAAGGUUGGGUAAAACCAACUGGAGGACCGAACGAAUAAGCGUUGAAAAGCUUCUCGAUGACUUGAGGGUAGGGGUGAAAGGCUAAUCAAGCUGGGAAAUAGCUCGUACUCCCCGAAAUGCCUUUUGGGGCAGCGUUGUAAUAAAGAGUCUACUGGAGGUAGAGCUACUGAUUGGAUGCGGGGGCUUCACCGCCUACCAAAUCCUGACAAACUCCGAAUGCCAGUAGUAUGAUUUACAGCAGUGAGUGACUGGGUGCUAAUGUCCAGUCGCAAAAGAGGAACAACUCAGACCAGCAACUAAGGUCCCGAAGAAUAUGCUAAGUUGAUCUAACGAUGUUUUGUUGCAGAGACAGCUAGGAUGUUAGCUUGGAAGCAGCUAUUCAUUCAAAGAGUGCGUAACAGCUCACUAGUCGAGCGACAGAGCGUGGAUAAUAAACGGGCAUCAAGCAUAUCACCGAAGUUCUGGGCGCGAGAGCGCGGUAGGGGAGCAUUCCAUUCAGCGUCGAAGCAGUUUCGUGAGGAAUUGUGGAGCGUAUGGAAAAGCAAAUGUAGGCAUGAGUAACGAUAAUGCGGGAGAGUAACCCGCACACCGCAAGACCAAGGUUUCCUGAUCAACGCUAAUCGGAUCAGGGUUAGUCGGGUCCUAAGGGUAAGCCGAACGGCGAUCUCGAUGGAUAAUCGGUUAAUAUUCCGAUACUAACAUAUACCUCGAUGGAGAGACGAAGGAACGUAAGUGCCGCCACCUGACGGAAUAGGUGGUUAAAGGGCGUAGGUAUAGGGGCAGAUUAAGAGUUAGUCCUUGCUGAAACCUGACAGUACAGAGAGCCUACGGGCAAUUUGAUAGAGCACCCAAGUCGACUUCCGAGAAAAUCUUCUAAGUUAUAGUAUAUGUUACCCGUACCGUAAACCGACACAGGUGGUCGAGGAGAGUAUCCUAAGGUGCUCGAGUGAAUCACGGUUAAGGAACUAGGCAAAUUAACCCCGUAACUUCGGGAAAAGGGGUCCCUAUGAAAGUAGGGCGCAGCGAAGAGGUCCAGGCGACUGUUUAUCAAAAACACAGGGCUCUGCAAAUUCGAAAGAAGACGUAUAGGGCCUGACACCUGCCCGGUGCUGGAAGGUUAAGAGGGGAUGUCAUCGCAAGAGAAGCAUUGAAUCGAAGCCCCAGUAAACGGCGGCCGUAACUAUAACGGUCCUAAGGUAGCGAAAUUCCUUGUC